This 306-nucleotide unclassified non-coding RNA is filed under the name plant metagenome. Its description in RNAcentral is "partial contains 5.8S ribosomal RNA, internal transcribed spacer 2, and large subunit ribosomal RNA". The stretch from base 1 to 105 matches the Rfam family "5.8S ribosomal RNA", at positions 50 to 154 of the family's 154-position model. The record is from RNAcentral.
GAAAUGCGAUAAGUAAUGUGAAUUGCAGAAUUCAGUGAAUCAUCGAAUCUUUGAACGCACAUUGCGCCCGCCAGUAUUCUGGCGGGCAUGCCUGUCCGAGCGUCAUUUCAACCAUCAAGCCCCCGGGCUUGUGUUGGGGACCUGAGGCUGCCCGCAGGCCCUGAAAACCAGUGGCGGGCUCGCUGUCACACCGAGCGUAGUAGCAAUCACCUCGCUCAGGGCGUGCUGCGGGUUCCGGCCGUUAAACAGCCUUACAAAACCCAAGGUUGACCUCGGAUCAGGUAGGAAGACCCGCUGAACUUAAGC